GAUGAACGCUGGCGGCGUGCCUAAUACAUGCAAGUCGAGCGAACAGACGAGGAGCUUGCUCCUCUGACGUUAGCGGCGGACGGGUGAGUAACACGUGGAUAACCUACCUAUAAGACUGGGAUAACUUCGGGAAACCGGAGCUAAUACCGGAUAAUAUAUUGAACCGCAUGGUUCAAUAGUGAAAGACGGUUUUGCUGUCACUUAUAGAUGGAUCCGCGCCGCAUUAGCUAGUUGGUAAGGUAACGGCUUACCAAGGCAACGAUGCGUAGCCGACCUGAGAGGGUGAUCGGCCACACUGGAACUGAGACACGGUCCAGACUCCUACGGGAGGCAGCAGUAGGGAAUCUUCCGCAAUGGGCGAAAGCCUGACGGAGCAACGCCGCGUGAGUGAUGAAGGUCUUCGGAUCGUAAAACUCGGUUAUUAGGGAAGAACAAAUGUGUAAGUAACUAUGCACGUCUUGACGGUACCUAAUAAGAAAGCAACGGCUAACUACGUG
RNAcentral lists this ribosomal RNA (497 nucleotides) under uncultured bacterium. RNAcentral describes it as "partial 16S ribosomal RNA". It matches the Rfam family "Bacterial small subunit ribosomal RNA", at positions 28 to 507 of the family's 1533-position model. The record is from RNAcentral.